AACGAACGCUGGCGGCGUGCCUAACACAUGCAAGUCGUGCGAGAAAGUUCCUUCGGGAGCGAGUAAAGCGGCGCACGGGUGAGUAACACGUAGGUAACCUGCCCCCCAGUCUGGAACAACUAGAGGAAACUCUAGCUAAUGCCGGAUGAGACCACGAUCCCUUCGGGGGUUGCGGCCAAAGAUGGCCUCUACUUGUAAGCUAUCGCUGAGGGAUGGGCCUGCGGGCCAUUAGCUUGUUGGUGAGGUAACGGCUCACCAAGGCUGUGAUGGCUAGCUGGUCUGAGAGGAUGACCAGCCACACUGGGACUGAGACACGGCCCAGACUCCUACGGGAGGCAGCAG
This 342-nucleotide ribosomal RNA is filed under the name uncultured bacterium. RNAcentral's name for it is "bacterial SSU rRNA". It matches the Rfam family "Bacterial small subunit ribosomal RNA", at positions 29 to 354 of the family's 1533-position model. The record is from RNAcentral.